RNAcentral lists this unclassified non-coding RNA (203 nucleotides) under uncultured fungus. RNAcentral describes it as "sequence contains ITS1". Lineage: Eukaryota; Fungi. The record is from RNAcentral.
UUAACUAUUAUAUAGUACUCAGACGACACUAAUAUUCAGGGUUUGGGGUCCUCCGGCAGGCGCUCCCCCGCCGAAGCCGGGGCGCGGCUAGGCCACGGGGCCUGCCAAAGCAACAAACAUAGUAUUCAAGGGUGGGAGUUCUGAUCCCUUUUCAGGGUACAGAAAACACUGUAAUGAUCCUUCCGCAGGUUCACCUACGGAAA